GCGUUAUUGGUUUAGUGGUAAAAUUCUCCGUUGCCAUCCGUGCAACGUUCGCGGGGAGCCCUGGGUUCGAUUCCCAGAUUAACGCA
Molecule: transfer RNA, 86 nt
Filed under: Moelleriella libera RCEF 2490
Lineage: Eukaryota; Fungi; Ascomycota; Sordariomycetes; Hypocreales; Clavicipitaceae
Description: Aschersonia aleyrodis RCEF 2490 tRNA
Rfam family: tRNA
About the family: Transfer RNA (tRNA) molecules are approximately 80 nucleotides in length. Their secondary structure includes four short double-helical elements and three loops (D, anti-codon, and T loops).
Source: Rfam by way of RNAcentral